This 33-nucleotide small RNA is filed under the name Bombyx mori (domestic silkworm). RNAcentral describes it as "ovarian small RNA-30598". Lineage: Eukaryota; Metazoa; Arthropoda; Insecta; Lepidoptera; Bombycidae. The record is from RNAcentral.
UGAAAUGACAAUGAGACAAGAGAUCGUGGUUGA